This 467-nucleotide ribosomal RNA is filed under the name uncultured bacterium. Its description in RNAcentral is "partial 16S ribosomal RNA". It matches the Rfam family "Bacterial small subunit ribosomal RNA", at positions 29 to 507 of the family's 1533-position model. The record is from RNAcentral.
ACGAACGCUGGCGGCGUGCUUAACACAUGCAAGUCGAACGGAAAGGCCCUGCUUUUGUGGGGUGCUCGAGUGGCGAACGGGUGAGUAACACGUGAGUAACCUGCCCUUGACUUUGGGAUAACUUCAGGAAACUGGGGCUAAUACUGGAUAGGAGCUCCUGCUGCAUGGUGGGGGUUGGAAAGUUUCGGCGGUUGGGGAUGGACUCGCGGCUUAUCAGCUUGUUGGUGGGGUAGUGGCUUACCAAGGCUUUGACGGGUAGCCGGCCUGAGAGGGUGACCGGCCACAUUGGGACUGAGAUACGGCCCAGACUCCUACGGGAGGCAGCAGUGGGGAAUAUUGCACUAUGGGCGGAAGCCUGAUGCAGCAACGCCGCGUGCGGGAUGACGGCCUUCGGGUUGUAAACCGCUUUCGCCUGUGACGAAGCGUGAGUGACGGUAAUGGGUAAAGAAGCACCGGCUAACUACGUG